CAGCAGCCGCGGUAAUACGGAGGAUCCGAGCGUUAUCCGGAUUUAUUGGGUUUAAAGGGUGCGUAGGCGGCCUGUUAAGUCAGAGGUGAAAGGCGGUAGCUUAACUAUCGGAGUGCCUUUGAUACUGACGGGCUUGAAUGCAGCUGAGGUAGGCGGAAUGUGACAAGUAGCGGUGAAAUGCAUAGAUAUGUCACGGAACACCAAUUGCGAAGGCAGCUUACUAAAGUGUGAUUGACGCUGAGGCACGAAAGCGUGGGGAUCAAGCAGGAUUAGAUACCCUGGUAGUCCACGCCCUAAACGAUGAAUACUCGAUGUUGGCGAUAUACGGUCAGCGUCUAAGCGAAAGCGUUAAGUAUUCCACCUGGGGAGUACGCCCGCAAGGGUGAAACUCAAAUGAAUUGACGG
This 405-nucleotide ribosomal RNA is filed under the name uncultured rumen bacterium. RNAcentral describes it as "bacterial SSU rRNA". It matches the Rfam family "Bacterial small subunit ribosomal RNA", at positions 509 to 916 of the family's 1533-position model. The record is from RNAcentral.